This 1348-nucleotide ribosomal RNA is filed under the name metagenome. Its description in RNAcentral is "bacterial LSU rRNA". It matches the Rfam family "Bacterial large subunit ribosomal RNA", at positions 1564 to 2925 of the family's 2925-position model. The record is from RNAcentral.
UGAGUACGAGCUGCUACGGCAGCGAAGUGGGUGAUGUCAAGCUUCCAAGAAAAGCCCUAUACCCGUUAAGGCAUGACGGCCUGUACCCGAAACCGACACAGGUGGGGUGGUAGAGAAUACCGAGGGGCGCGAGAUAACUCUCUCUAAGGAACUCGGCAAAAUGGCCCCGUAACUUCGGGAGAAGGGGUGCCACCGCAAGGUGGUCCAGUGAAGAGGCCCAGGCGACUGUUUACCAAAAACACAGGUCUCCGCUAAGUCGCAAGACGAUGUAUGGGGGCUGACGCCUGCCCAGUGCCGGAAGGUUAAGGAAGCUGGUCAGCGCAAGCGAAGCUAGCGACUGAAGCCCCGGUGAACGGCGGCCGUAACUAUAACGGUCCUAAGGUAGCGAAAUUCCUUGUCGGGUAAGUUCCGACCCGCACGAAAGGCGUAACGAUCUGGGCGCUGUCUCGGAGAGAGGCUCGGCGAAAUAGAAUUGUCUGUGAAGAUGCGGACUACGUGCACCCGGACAGAAAGACCCUAUGAAGCCUUACUGUAGCUUGGUAUUGUGCCCGGGCUCUGAAUGCGCAGGAUAGGUGGGAGGCUUUGAUCCAUUGCUUGUGGGUGAUGGUGAGCCAACGGCGAGAUACCACUCUUUCAGAGCUAGGGUUCUAACCCUCACCCGUUAUCCGGGGAGGGGACAGUAUCAGGUGGGCAGUUUGACUGGGGCGGUCGCCUCCUAAAAGGUAACGGAGGCGCGCAAAGGUUUGCUCAGGCUGGUUGGAAAUCAGCCGACGAGUGUAAAAGCAGAAGCAAGCUUGACUGUGAGACCAACAAGUCGAACAGGGACGAAAGUCGGCUUUAGUGAUCCGACGGUUCUGAGUGGAAGGGCCGUCGCUCAACGGAUAAAAGUUACUCUAGGAUAACAGGCUGAUCUCCCCCAAGAGUUCACAUCGACGGGGAGGUUUGGCACCUCGAUGUCGGCUCAUCGCAACCUGGGGCUGAAGUCGGUCCCAAGGGUUGGGCUGUUCGCCCAUUAAAGCGGUACGCGAGCUGGGUUCAGAACGUCGUGAGACAGUUCGGUCCAUAUCCGGUGCAUGCGUAAGAACAUUGAGAGGAGUUCUCCCUAGUACGAGAGGACCGGGAGGAACGCACCUCUGGUGUACCAGUUAUCGUGCCAACGGUAAACGCUGGGUAGCCAUGUGCGGAGAGGAUAACCGCUGAAAGCAUCUAAGUGGGAAGCCCACCUCAAGAUGAGUGUUCUCAUGGCUUAAGCCAGUAAGGUCACGGGAAGAACACCCGUUGAUAGGCUCUACGUGGAAGCGCAGCAAUGUGUGAAGCGGAGGAGUACUAAUAGACCGAGGGCUUGACC